This 155-nucleotide ribosomal RNA is filed under the name Amandinea punctata. Its description in RNAcentral is "5.8S ribosomal RNA". It matches the Rfam family "5.8S ribosomal RNA". From Rfam's summary of the family: 5.8S ribosomal RNA (5.8S rRNA) is a component of the large subunit of the eukaryotic ribosome. Lineage: Eukaryota; Fungi; Ascomycota; Lecanoromycetes; Caliciales; Caliciaceae. The record is from RNAcentral.
AAAACUUUCAACAACGGAUCUCUUGGUUCUGGCAUCGAUGAAGAACGCAGCGAAAUGCGAUAAGUAAUGUGAAUUGCAGAAUUCAGUGAAUCAUCGAAUCUUUGAACGCACAUUGCGCCCUCUGGUAUUCCGGGGGNCAUGCCUGUUCGAGCGUC